Molecule: ribosomal RNA, 859 nt
Filed under: Kingella kingae
Lineage: Bacteria; Pseudomonadati; Pseudomonadota; Betaproteobacteria; Neisseriales; Neisseriaceae
Description: partial 23S ribosomal RNA
Rfam family: Bacterial large subunit ribosomal RNA
Source: RNAcentral
GCUGCUAGACGGAAAGACCCCGUGAACCUUUACUGUAGCUUUGCAUUGGACUUUGAAGUCACUUGUGUAGGAUAGGUGGGAGGCUUUGAAGCAGAGACGCCAGUCUCUGUGGAGCUGUCCUUGAAAUACCACCCUGGUGACUUUGAGGUUCUAACCCAGACCCGUUAUCCGGGUCGGGGACCGUGCAUGGUAGGCAGUUUGACUGGGGCGGUCUCCUCCCAAAGAGUAACGGAGGAGUUCGAAGGUUACCUAGGUCCGGUCGGAAAUCGGACUGAUAGUGCAAUGGCAAAAGGUAGCUUAACUGCGAGACCGACAAGUCGAGCAGGUGCGAAAGCAGGACAUAGUGAUCCGGUGGUUCUGAAUGGAAGGGCCAUCGCUCAACGGAUAAAAGGUACUCCGGGGAUAACAGGCUGAUUCCGCCCAAGAGUCCAUAUCGACGGCGGAGUUUGGCACCUCGAUGUCGGCUCAUCACAUCCUGGGGCUGUAGUCGGUCCCAAGGGUAUGGCUGUUCGCCAUUUAAAGUGGUACGUGAGCUGGGUUUAAAACGUCGUGAGACAGUUUGGUCCCUAUCUGCAGUGGGCGUUGGAAGUUUGACGGGGGCUGCUCCUAGUACGAGAGGACCGGAGUGGACGAACCUCUGGUGUACCGGUUGUUUCGCCAGAAGCAUAGCCGGGUAGCUAAGUUCGGAAGAGAUAAGCGCUGAAAGCAUUUAAGCGCGAAACUCGCCCAAAGAUGAGACUUCCCUUGUGGUUUAACCAUACUAAAGAGUCGUUCGAGACCAGGACGUUGAUAGGUUGGGUGUGGAAGAGUGGUAACACUUGAAGCUAACCAAUACUAAUUGCUCGUGAGGCUUGACUCU